CCACAGACUUGUCUACACGUCCUCAGGCUGGAGAGAACAUCAAGGAGGGAAUUUUAUGACUGCAAAUCGGUCUUUCCAAAAUAAUAUUCCUAAUGACAGCUACUGUUUACGGAGUGCUUCCUCUGCGUGCCGGGCCUGCACUUGCUGAGCACCGUGCAUCCGGUUGCUGUGGAUGGUCUGAAGAAAACCACUGAUGUAAGAUAAUCAUCAUUCAUUAAAUUCUAACCCCACCCCUAUGAGGCAACUCAAACGUGUUCUUCUCAAGACAGUGGCAGAGUGCAAGAGCGCGAGUGGGAAUAAGUCUGGGCACCACAGUUGGAGCAGGGAGAGGACAUUUCCAACUGUGUUACUUCAUGGAGAAAGUCAUCUGAGAUGGGCCUUAGAAGAUGGGCUGGGUUUCCGUUUCCAAGAUAUGACAGUGAAGCAGAUGAACCCAAGAGAGGGUGCAAGCUGGAGAGAAAGACCAGGGCAUUCCACCCACAACCUAGGACAUAGGAGGGUAACGAGGGCUUCCCCACAGGAAUGGAAGAUGAGAAGCCAGAUUCCCUGACUCCCGCCCACCGUCUGACCCCAGAGCAGCCCCAUGUUAGAUCUCUGAUUGGUUCCAGGACCACAGUUUCUUUUUCUCCAUGAUUCAUCGACUCUCAAAUGCAACUAUUUCUUCACCCUGUCAUUGUGAGACACUCAAUCCAAAAUCUUUUUGAAAUCAAGAGAUAAUUUUCCUUGCUGCUAUGUUGGGAGCAGAAUAUGAUUCCC
This 756-nucleotide long non-coding RNA is filed under the name Equus asinus (donkey). Its description in RNAcentral is "lncRNA (ENSEASG00005026636.1)". The record is from RNAcentral. Lineage: Eukaryota; Metazoa; Chordata; Mammalia; Perissodactyla; Equidae.